This 1085-nucleotide long non-coding RNA is filed under the name Gopherus agassizii (Agassiz's desert tortoise). RNAcentral describes it as "lncRNA (ENSGAGG00000002497.1)". The record is from RNAcentral. Lineage: Eukaryota; Metazoa; Chordata; Testudines; Testudinidae.
AGAUUAUCCCCUUCAGCUGUCGGAGGGGGAAGCUAAUUUGAGGUGAUGAGAUGCAACGGUGGGUGGAGGAAUUAAUUCUGUGAGCUGACACCUUUGAAAGAACUUUCUAAAUUGUAAAAGAAAAACAGGAACUCAAACUGCUUAUCCAUAGCAGUGAAUCCAGUUCUGAAAGGAUCUGGGACUCAGACUCUGGUCAUCCAUGACAGACCCUGGGGAGCACUGCUUUGCGAGGGAGUGUCUGGUACGAUAAUAAAGCUUAUCAAAGAGACUCAAGGAGUAUUACAGGCACAUCCCUCUCGGAAGUGUCUGAGUGCCAUGGAAUGCCAGUACUUCAAAGAAUGCCACACCCACAUAAAUGGCAGCCAGCACUGGUGGCGAUUCAGUGCAGGUGAACCUACGUAUACAGUCAUGAAGUAAAAUAUGCUAUGGAUGUCUGUGCUCUUAUGGUGACAGUUGGUGGUUUAAAAUGUAUUCUUUACUAUUUAUUUGAAUUGUGAUUGAGCCUGGUGGUCCCAGUCAUGGAUCAGGGCUCCACUGUGUGUACAAAACAAACGGUUCCGGCCUCAAAGAGCUUACAAUCUACAUAUAAGAUAAGAGAAAACAGGUAGAUACAUGACCACAUGGUAAAAUGAGAGGUGUAUUGGGUAUGCAUUUAAGUAUGUGUUUUUUUUAAAAAAACAAGUACCGUACUGUCUGUUGAAGAGUGGUGCAGCCCCACAUUGGGUUCGUUACAACAUUUAAGGCCUCUGUAGAAGGAAAAUGUCACUUCAGAAGUGUAAAAUGCUUUGUUUCAAUUUUAAAAAAUGCUGCUUUCAGUAGUGCCAGAGAAGUUUUGCAUUGUUAAGAGAAACCACAAUUUGAAACUUUCCUGGCCUCACCACUGCUAUGUUAAAUGGCUUGGCACGUGAUAGAUAACUGAAGUAUAAAGAGAAAAAAGUGCAUAUAAAAUGGCCAUUAACAGCCUAGACACUGCUGCUCUGUCUUUAUUAAUGCUUCACUAGCUUCUUGGGUUUUUUAGCUUUCUAAAUAGACAGACGCUAAGAGCAUAAAAUAAAUUUGAGAUUGCACUUUUUUCUUUCUUUGUU